RNAcentral lists this ribosomal RNA (439 nucleotides) under uncultured bacterium. RNAcentral's name for it is "partial 16S ribosomal RNA". It matches the Rfam family "Bacterial small subunit ribosomal RNA", at positions 339 to 795 of the family's 1533-position model. The record is from RNAcentral.
CUACGGGCUGCAGCAGUGGGGAAUAUUGCACAAUGGACGAAAGUCUGAUGCAGCAACGCCGCGUGGAGGAUGACACAUUUCGGUGCGUAAACUCCUUUUAUAUAAGAAGAUAAUGACGGUAUUAUAUGAAUAAGCACCGGCUAACUCCGUGCCAGCAGCCGCGGUAAUACGGGGGGUGCAAGCGUUACUCGGAAUCACUGGGCGUAAAGCGCAUGUAGGCGGACUUGUAAGUUGGAAGUGAAAUCCUAUGGCUCAACCAUAGAACUGCUUCCAAAACUGCUUGUCUAGAAUAUGGGAGAGGUAGAUGGAAUUUCUGGUGUAGGGGUAAAAUCCGUAGAGAUCAGAAGGAAUACCGAUUGCGAAGGCGAUCUACUGGAACAUUAUUGACGCUCAGAUGCGAAAGCGUGGGGAGCAAACAGGAUUAGAUACCCGUGUAGUC